ACUUCAGUCUACAGAGCAAUGUUCCAUUGGAUCCUAUUACUGAGCCAUCUCCUUCAUCCCCCUUUCCGCCCCCUCCUCUAGGUUUCCGAGAGGGAGCAGCAGGGGCGUGGCGCCCGUUUCCCCGCCCGACAGCCCCCCGACCCCGGGCCCCAUUACAGCGCGUGGGCGGCGAUCCAGCAGGAGGAGGCGCAGAUCCACAGGCCGAAGGAGAUGCAGACGCGGUGGCGGGCGAAGCAGCGGUCCAGGAGUCGCUGGUGUUGAUGCUGAAAAGUUACAGGAUCUCUUCCAGGAGGAGGAUGGCAGUACAGCAGCUUACCCUACAAAGACAACAUGAAUGACAACAGUGCAUCCUAACUGCCAUCUGUGGCCUCAGAGGAGACAGCUCCACCCAGUCACACUCUGAUGGAGCUUUCUGCCUUCUGGUUAAGUUAGCUGAGUUGAGUUUUGGUCCACUGCAGCUGAAGAGUCCUUUUUCUAAUACAUCAAUGGUCAAAAUGUUCUAGAGACCUAGCUCUUCCCAUGGCGCCCCAGACUAGGAUGAAAUCUCUUUCUUCUUUUCUCGUUUGCAUUGCAUUCUCACUCAAGUAUUCUUCAGUAUACGGACAUGAUCAUACUUAUGGUAAAUAUUUUCCAAAACAAAACUCAAGACACAACUGGACAGUUACGGUAAUGCCGGGGUAGACUGUUAAAGUCAGGAGAGUUCCUUGACUCCUGUAUGUGGGGUUGCAGACAGUUACGGUAAUGCCGGGGUAGACUAUUAAAGUCAGGAGAGUUCCUCAACUCCUGUAUGUGGGGUUGCAGUUGCUCACUGGGUGCAAGUCUGCCUCUUUCCAUCAUAAAUGAUCUGAAGGCUGUGACUAUUUUUACCUCAUUUUUACAUCCUCCACAGUAAGUGGUAAUGAAUACAUGACUUAUCCAUACCAACAGCAUGAACUGCUUUCUUCCUGAACUGAAGGCAAGCCCAUACGGUUGCCACUAAGCUCCAAGAGCUCCACUGAUGCGGUCUUGAGAAGAGGAGGAAAUAAAGCCAAAUCCUCACAACUGGUUA
Molecule: non-coding RNA, 1048 nt
Filed under: Pongo abelii (Sumatran orangutan)
Lineage: Eukaryota; Metazoa; Chordata; Mammalia; Primates; Hominidae
Source: RNAcentral